RNAcentral lists this transfer RNA (74 nucleotides) under Fidelibacterota bacterium. RNAcentral's name for it is "tRNA-Arg". It matches the Rfam family "tRNA". From Rfam's summary of the family: Transfer RNA (tRNA) molecules are approximately 80 nucleotides in length. Their secondary structure includes four short double-helical elements and three loops (D, anti-codon, and T loops). Further hydrogen bonds mediate the characteristic L-shaped molecular structure. tRNAs have two regions of fundamental functional importance: the anti-codon, which is responsible for specific mRNA codon recognition, and the 3' end, to which the tRNAs corresponding amino acid is attached (by aminoacyl-tRNA synthetases). tRNAs cope with the degeneracy of the genetic code in two manners: having more than one tRNA (with a specific anti-codon) for a particular amino acid; and 'wobble' base-pairing, i.e. permitting non-standard base-pairing at the 3rd anti-codon position. Lineage: Bacteria; Pseudomonadati; Fidelibacterota. The record is from RNAcentral.
GCCCCGGUAGCUCAGCUGGAUAGAGCAUCUGCCUUCUAAGCAGAAUGUCACACGUUCGAAUCGUGUCCGGGGUA